UUCCUUUCUCUUCUUCUUUCUGGUAACACGGAAAGUUAGUGCAAAAUACUUGGUCUCCUUGAGCCAAGGGGCACAAAGUCUGUUUCGUGCGGCUCAUUUGAAAGCUGCUUAACAGUAUUGAACACUCUGCACCAAAAGCCUUCGCUCCAAGGGCCGAAUCACUACAGCGAAGGAAACGGUGAACACCAAGGACUCCUUCCACACACGGACACUGGAGACUAUGAUCUCAGCCCUGGCUCCCAGCCCACAGGUUCCCUCAAGAAAUCACUCCCCCGAGGGCUUGCUAUCUGGAAGCUUCUGCUGGCUCUCUGACUCGGGGCUGUGCGGCCCAGGACGGUGUCCUUCCCUCAGGAACCCAAGGCAGAGACUCAGGGUCUUCUCAGAGCCCUUCCCUAUGUUUCUCUCUCACUCCCUCACAUGCCUGGUCAGUGUGUUGGUGCUGAGGAGGCUGCUGGUAUUUCCCUUAGUGUUGUCAUGUGGAUUUGGCUAUUUCCGAUUACUGUGAUAGUUGUCAAUUUGGGCAGACCUGGCCCGGGUUGGGCCCCAUCAGGAUGACAACAGUAAGGCUGGAGAAGGGUACCGCAGGCUGGGAACUACUUCUCCAGGGCUCACGGUCCCCCAGCUGAGGAAAGGGGUGGGUCGAGUUGCCCACGUGGAAUCCAGGAGAGGGGACGAGGGCACCAGGAAGAGUAGAAUCCGGCCGGGGGGUCAGAGUGGGGAAAGCAAGAGGAGGAGAAGGGAGGGAGCAUAGAUAGUGCAGAGGCAGAUGGCGGCCACACCAGGGGUGUGAGGCCAUUCAAGAGGGGACCCGCAUUUGAACCUCGUGGUUUCUGAACAGACGUGCUUCCGGGACAGCAGCCUGGAAAAAGAGUGGCCAUGCAGGGUGAGGGCAAGGGUGGGGGACAGGGUGGAGACAGGGCUUUUGCAGAGUGACGGCCAGGCUCUUCCAGUGCCCAGCUCUGACCAGGGUGAGACGUGGGCAGCUGGCCAUUCAACUUGGCCUUCCCUUGGCAGUGGCAGCAGUGCCAGGCCAGGCUGCAGAGAGAGCCACAUGUCACCCACAGCACUCCAGGGUCUCCUAGAGCCUAGAAAACAAGCCAGCUAGUCUGUCCUGAAGCUGGGGGUGUCACCAAGGCAGGGAGCCAAUCAGAGAGAUGUGGUCCCAGGGAGUGGCUGAUUGGUUGUCUGUGGGCAGGAAUGAGAGGCGGAGACAUGAGAAGGCCCAGUGUGGGGGGUGAGGAAGGAGUGCGGGUUGGAUGUUCCAGAAUCCAGCUCUGAGAUACCAUGAAGAAGGGAGAGGGAUGGGAGCCCGGGUCCUACGUAAGUCGGGUGGGCUCCAGGUGGCGGGUACCUCGCAGGGCACCAGAGCUUUCCACGCAGACUUUUCCGACUUCAUACUUCAAAGGGCCAUGAUAGCAUUAUGAUUCAGGCAGGUUCCUGGCCAGCAGCUCGUGAAGUUGUUAUUUUUCCACGAAAGAUUUGUUAGAAGUGAAACCAGCCAGUUUUCAAAAACUGUUCAUUCCACCGCCACGGAUAUAUUUGUCCCAAUGGAAAGCCUUUUCUCCAUCGGAAGCCCGUGGCACACCGCUCCUGCUGCGGCCUGCCAAGGGGUGGAGAGUGUGCUGGAGACCACCGGGCAGGGCUGCCACCUGACCCAAAAGGCUUAUCGGGAUGGCUGCCCUGGUAUUUGGUUCCCAGGUGACCCAGGUGCUGUUUUUGGCCCAUAGGAGGCCAGUAUUUACCUGCUAGGAGUCGCUUGGUGAUGCUGUAGAACCUCAUCUUUGUAGGCUGCAGGUCUCCAGAUGAGGCUCCAUAGGCCUGCAAGUCCCACACAGCAGCGGGGGACUGUGGUCGAAAUGGCAACUUCUGCCCCCUACCCUCGUGGUGGUCACUGGGUUGUCUCUGUGUCUCCCCUUUGGGUUUCAUCCCCACCAGCCAACAUUACUUCCCCCAAGCUCACUUCCCCACCUGUGUCCUCCGGGAGGCCAGGCUGCCCUGCUCCUGUUUGGGAUAGCUUUCCUCCACCUCAAGUAAGGAAAGGUAUCUCGAAACAACAAGGUGGACACUGCUUCUGGGUCCAGCUUCCCUUCCCGGACAGGAAGGUCUGCCAUCCCCUGGGCUCUUCAGCCCAGAAUUUUGGCCUUUGACAGCCCUCCCUCCUGUUGAGUCAACUCCUUGUGGGCUGCAGUCCCUCAGCACCUGAGGCCCCGUUGACACCUCUUCCAUCCCAUUGCCUGGGAUCUUUCCACCCUGAGACCUUUCCCAUCCUCUGGGUCCCAAUCUCAGACCCUGAGCCCAAGAGGAGAUACAUGGAAUCCACUACACAACCAGGCAACAGGGCUACAAUGCCUUUUGUAAUCAUUCUGUUUAUUUGCUCACAUACAGGCCAGCCUUCUCAGGACAGCGGCUGCAAUGGGCCAAACAGGAGGAAAUCCAAGAGCGUAGGACACAUUUUCCAGACAGUGGCUGAUAUCAUGCCAGGAAAAUCACCAUCACCCAGCAGCACAUGGUCCUUUAACCACACUCGAUCCCUUCUGAGUCCUUGAAACACAAUCACAUCUAUUGGUUUCUGAAACAUCCUCUUUGUAAAAGUAUAUGGUAUGCACACAGUGUUUGCUUCCUGUUGACUUAUGCAGUACAAGUAUAAUUUGUCACGUGGGUAUAUCAGGUAUCGGUAAAGUCAAGGCUUCUGGCGGAUCCAUUACCUCAAUAACAUAUGUUGUAGCCAUUAAGUGAUUUCUCCUCUUUCACCCUUUCACACUCCCCACCCUUCCAAGUUUUCAGUGUCUGUCGUUCCACACUCUAUGUCCAUACCUAGACAUUAUUUAGCUCCCAUUCAGGAGAGAGGGAGAGAACGUGUGGUGUUGCUUCUCAGUUUCUGGGUUGUUUCACUCCCGACCGUGGACUCCAGAUCCAUCCAAGUUGCUGUGAAAGACAUGACGUCACUGUUUUCCUAUGGCCAAAGAGUAUUGCACUGGGUAUAUAUGCCACCUUUUUUUCCCAAUUAUCCACUGAGGGACAUUUAGGUCCACUCUGCUCUGAGCCUUAUUUUUGUAGACAGUCACACACAGGAGUCCAGUUUUAUUCUUUGCACAUGGAAAUCAAAUUAUUCCAGCAUCAUGAUUUCAAAAGGUUGACUUUUUGCCCAGUGUAUGUUCUUAUUGACUUUGUCCAAGAUCAGUUGGCUGUAGAUAUGUGGCUUUAUUUCUGAGUUCUCUAUUCUGUUCCAUCAGUCUUCAUGUCUACUUUUCAACCAGUACAACGAUGUUGUCACCAUUAUUGCCUUGUAGGAUAGGCAUGUCAUUUUUCAAAGACAGGUGGACCAUCAGGUCAGGUAUUACUGGCAACCCUUUCUUCAGGCACCAGAGAAGUAUCUUCUUCAACAAAAGAAAUGUAAACAUCUCCUUGAAUGAAGAGUUCUGCCCGUUUCCUGGACAUGUCAUGAAUUCCUGUCCUAGAUACAUGCUUCCCAUGUACAGGACACAUGAAGCCACGACAUCCAUCAUCAAUUCCAUGGCUCUGUCUUUUAGGAUCGAAAUCAAGGAAUCCUUGCACAACAUACUGAGUGCACCUCGUGGCCGCAGUGGCCUUGAGGAGUCCUCACACAGGAGAGUCAUCCUUUUAUUGAACUUGCAUUGGUGAAGUACACUCAUCCCACCCUCACACCCCAGGCCAGCAGGAGCUAGGCCAAUCAGCUUGUGCCUGAGGGGGAAGCCCCACCCAGUUUUAAUGUUACACUUUGACUAAGCUCUGAUCAGACACAACGUAUCAAAACAAUCACAAUUUUUUGCUCUUAUUAGGUGGAGGCACGUGGAAUUGAACCGUUGAAUUUUACGCUCACAUUGUUGGUGUUUUGAGCCCUCCGUUUUUCUUGCAACAAAGAACGAGAUAUGUUGCUGUAUAACAAAGUGAACAAAGCCCAAGGUUCAACUCAGCAUCUGAGAAAAUCAUUUUAAAAAAAAGAAAGAAAAAAAAAACCCCAGUAAACCAGAAAAGCACUAUUUAACUGGUUAAAUCAUUUGGCUCUCCAACGUUGACUUGUUGCAGGUUUCUUGCUUUGGGAAGCAAGAAGGAUAUAUGUUCUUUUUACAGAGACCAAGAAAAAGUAGUCAGUCUGCCUGUCCUGAGAACAAACUGCAAAACCAGGAAGCUGAGAGAAGGUUAAAAGGGUAACCAGCAUCGUUGAUGUUUGAGUAAUUCGUUUUUCUUGCAAUCAAGAUCGAGAUGUGUUUUGGUUUUUGUUGUUACUUACAAAGGCAUCCAAGCUUAGAAGUCAGCAAUGCCUCUGAGGAAAUGUUGAAGAAAAUGGUAAAAAGCAGGCAGAUAACAUGAUUUCAUUAGUGAAAUCUUCUCGAUUUUCUGUGUCGACUUGGUGCGUGGUUUCUGUUUGGUGUAGCAAGAAGGAGAUAGGGUCUUUUUGUAGAGAUAGAGUAAAAAAUUCAGCCUGCCUCUCCUGAGAUGACCUAAAAAACAAGGAAGCUGAGAGAAGUUUAAACCAGUAAACUGCACUGUUGAUGUGCUGAGUACUUAAUUUUUCUUACAGCAAAGAUCGAGAUACGUUGGGAUUUUCUUGUUGAGAAAAGCAACGUAGCUGCAAAGUCAGCAAUGCCUCUGAGGAAACCGUCCACACAACAGCGAAGCAGAGAAAUACGAUUUCACUAGUUGAAUCUUUUAGAUUUUGUGUGUUGACUUUUUUCGUGUUUCUCCUUCUGGGUACCAGGAAGGAGAUAGGGUCAUUUACAGAGAGCAACAGUAAAAGCCAGUCUUCUGCCUCUUCUGAGACCAACAUAAAUGAAGAAGCUGAGAAAAUGCUACAUGGGUAGCCUGGACUAUUGAUGCUUUGGGAACUCAGUUUUUCUGGCAGCGAAAAUCGAGCUAUGUUGUGAAUUCAGUCCUUUCACUGAGGAAAGCAUCCAAAACGUGGUAAAGCACAGGAAGACGAUUUAACUGGUUACGUCUUUUAGGUCUCCUGUGUCGACUUGCUGUGUGUUUCUUGUUUCGGGCAGCAAGAAGCGCAUACGAUCUUUUCACAGACAGAAAGAAAAAAAGUCGUUCUGCUGCUCGUGAAAUGAAACUUAAAAACAAGGAAGCUGAGAGAAGCUUAAACCGGUAGUACCCUGCAUUGCUGAUGUGCCGAGUACUUCAUUUUUCUCACAGCAAAGAUCGAGAUAUGUUGGGUUUUUCUUGUUGAGAAAAGCAGGAAAUCUGGUAAGUCAGAAAUGCCCCUUAGGAAACUGUCAAGAACACAAUUUAACUGUUUCAAUCUUUUAGAUUUCCUGUGUUGACUUAUUCCAUGUGUCUUGGUUGGCAGCAAGAAGGAGAUAUGUUGUUUUUAGAGAGACAAAGAAGAAAAGUCGGUCUGCCUCUCCGAAGACCGACAUAAAAUGAAGAAGGUUAGAGAAUGUUAAACGGGCAACCUGCACGGUUGAUGUUUUGAGUACUCGUUUUUUUUGCAGCAAAGCUCAAGAUAUGUUGAUUUAUUUUUCUAUUUGCAAAAUCAAGAAAUCUGAGAAGUCUUCCCUGUCACUGAGGAAACCGUGCAGAAUUCGGAACAAGGACAUAUGGUCUCACUAUAGACACAAAGAAGAAAAGUCAGUCUUUCUCCCCUGAGAGGCACAUUCAACGGAGAAGCUGAGAGAAGGUUAGUAGGUAACCUGCAUUGUCGCUGUGUUGAGUACUUCAUGUUUCUUGAGGCAAAGAUUGAGAUAUGGUGUUGUUGUUGUCAUUUUUUUUUCAAUAUUGAAAAGCAACAAAGCUGACAAGUCAGCAAUGCUUCUGAAGAAACCAUCAAAAAAACAGUAAAGCAGAGAAAUCACAAUUGAACUGGUUAAAUCUUUUAGAUUUCCUGUGUGUGUUGUAUGUUUCCUGUUUAGAACAGCAAGAACGAGAUAUAUUCUUUUUACAGAGACAAAGAAACAAAGUCGGUCUGCCUCUCCUGAGUCCAGCCUAAAAUGAAGAAGCUGAGAGAAUGUUAAACGGGUAACCUGCACGGGUGAUGUUUUGAGACUACGUUUUUCUUGUGGCAAAGAUCGAGAUAUGAUUCUUGUUCUUUUGCUUGUUUGUUUCAGAGAAGCAAGACGGAAGCAAAGUCGGCCGCGUCGCCCAAGCGACAUAUGCUCUUGUUCUGCAACAGAGACAGGAUCUCAGCCUUGCCUAGGCUGGAAACAACACGAAAAUGAUGAAGCCCUGACACGGUUUAAGCCACGAAAGUAUUUCGACCUGCACUUCUCUGUCACCAGGUCCUUGUUUUGAUCAGGGUGGUUAGGGCAGUUUUGACUGUGUGUUAAGCAGUGCCCGCUGGUUCCCGGUCUCAGAACUGGCUGGAUAAUUAACUGACGUCAUCUUCUUCACUUCCACCUUCUUCUCCACUAACUCCAACUUUUAGAUAUAACUUGAUUGCUCUACCAAUUACAAACUGAAGAAUCUCUACAUCAGCCUGUGACCUAUAUGCCCUUGAAAAUAUUUUUCCUUUCCGGGCCAAAGCAAUGUACAUGUUUCAUACAGACAUUCGUGCCUUUGGCUACAAGUGCUGCCUCCUGAAAAUAAAUGAGACCAGACAAUAAUCCAACUACCUCCAGACCACUUACUCAAGGCUUCUUGCGUUUGUGUUUUCCCUGGGCCACCGUCACUCCCACUGAAUGAAAAUAAACCUCUUGAAAAUAUUUGA
Molecule: long non-coding RNA, 6667 nt
Organism: Lemur catta (Ring-tailed lemur)
Lineage: Eukaryota; Metazoa; Chordata; Mammalia; Primates; Lemuridae
Exons: 2
Source: RefSeq, a predicted model, not a curated record